Long non-coding RNA from Eubalaena glacialis (North Atlantic right whale), 2098 nucleotides. RefSeq lists it as uncharacterized. NCBI's taxonomy places the organism in Eukaryota, Metazoa, Chordata, Mammalia, Artiodactyla, Balaenidae. The transcript is spliced from 4 exons. The record is from RefSeq and is a predicted model, not a curated record.
UACGGUAUGGAGGGACGAUUUGGGUGACAUCUGAGACGCAGCCGCACAUCAACAAGCGUCCGGGCUCCAGGGACAUGGCGGCAGCCUCUGUGGUGUCGGUGCUGCUGGUGGCGACUGAGAGGAACCAGUGGCAGCCAGUCCAGAGCCCGCUGCUGCUGCCGCUGCCGCUGCCGAGGCAACGAUCCAAAAGGUAGUUCUGGCACUUGGAUACUACUACCUUGGAGCAACUUGUCAUGCCUGCAUUGUGUGGAACCAGUGUUCAAAAUAAAAUGCAAAAACUUCAGGCUGGUGGAGGAGGGAGCACACAGCAUCCUGGUACUCCAGGGAGACCAUUUGAUAUGUUAAAUAGAAUAUAUCAUUGUUGUGUUGCUUUCUGCCUUAAUGCCAAUUGAUAUGCUGAAGACCUCAAAAAGUUCCUGAGAAAUCCAUUUCAAAUUCUAGUGAAGAAAGAAGAACUGACCUUUGAAAAGAAUUGGCAGCAGGAGUCAAUUUGGGAGGAAGGCUGUGGCCAUAAACAUUGAAGAAGACAAGAAGAUUCUUUGUGACACUGAGCCUUUCUGCCAUACUACACUGGAGGAAAUGCCAAUGAAUGUGGCUGACCUAAUUUAAUUCCUGGGAUGAAAUGGUUUUGAAUGUAGUGCUUGCUGUUGGUGAAUAGGCAAUCACAAGGUGCACUGUGCUUCUUUUGGGGGAAAUAUUUGAAGCUUUGUCUCAAUGCUCAUAACAGAUCAAAAAUAUAGAUUUUGAUAGCAAAGCAACUUCAGCCAUGAGCUCAUGUGAGGAAAGUCAUUGGCUUUACCCUCUUUAGAAUUAGACUGUUGGGGUGGCUAUAAAAGAUGGGGUUGUACCCAAUUGAAAAAUGGGCAGAAGACCUAAAUAUACAUUUCUCCAAAGAAGACAUACAGAUGGCCAACAGGCAAAUGAAAAAAGUCUCAACAUUGCUAAUUAUCAGAGAAAUGCAAAUCAAAACUACAAUGAGAUACUGCCUCACACCAGUCAGAAUAGCCAACAUUAAAAAGUCUACAAAUAGCAAAUGCCGGAGAGGGUGUGGAGAAGAGGGAACCCUCUUACACUGUUGGUGGAAAUGUUAAUUGGUGCAGCCACUAUGGAGAACAGUAUGGAGGUUCCUCAAGAAACUAAAAAUAGAAUUACCAUAUGAUCCAGCAAUCCCACUCCUGGGCAUAUAUCCAGACAAAACUAUAAUUCAAAAAGAUACAUGUGGGGCUUCCCUGGUGGCGCAGUGGUUGAGAAUCUGCCUGCUAAUGCAGGGGACACGGGUUCGAGCCCUGGUCUGGGAAGAUCCCACAUGCCACAGAGCAACUGGGCCCGUGAGCCACAACUACUGAGCCUGCGCGUCUGGAGCCUGUUCUCCGCAACAAGAGAGGCCGCGAUAGUGUAAGGCCCACGCACCACGAUGAAGAGUGGCCCCCGCUUGCCACAACUAGAGAAAGCCCUCGCACAGAAAUGAAGACCCAACACAGACAAAAAUAAAUAAAUAAAAUUAAAUUAAAUUUUAAAAAAAAGAUAGCAUCAUGUAAUGGCAAUUCUAUAAAUCUGGGUUUAAAAAAAAAAAAAAAAAGAUACAUGCACCCCUAUGGUCAUAGCAGCACUAUUCACAAUAGCCAAGACAUGGAAACCACCUAAAUGUCCACCUAGAGAUGAAUGGAUAAAGAAGAUGUGGUACAUAUAAUACAAUGGAAUACUACUCAGCCAUAAAAAGAAUGAAAUAAUGCCAUUUGCAGCAACAUGGAUGGAACUGGAGAUUAUCAUACUAAGUGAAGUCAGAAAGAGAAAGAAAAAUACCAUAUGAUAUCACUUAUAUGUGGAAUCUAAAAUAUGACACAAAUGAACCUACCUACGAAACAGAAACAGACUCACAGACAUAGAGAACAGACCUGUGUUUGCUAAGGCAGUGGGGGUGGGGAGAGGAGAGAUGGAGUGGGAGUUUGGGGUUAGCAGAUGCAAACUAUUAUAUACAGGAUGGAUAAACAACGAGGUCCUACUGUAUAGCACAGGGAACUAUAUUCAACAUCCUGUGAUAAAACAUAAUGGAAAAGACUAUGAAAAAGAAUACAUAUAUAUGUAUAACUGAAUCACU